RNAcentral lists this long non-coding RNA (638 nucleotides) under Homo sapiens (human). RNAcentral describes it as "non-protein coding lnc-SLC25A47-6:2". The record is from RNAcentral. Lineage: Eukaryota; Metazoa; Chordata; Mammalia; Primates; Hominidae.
CUCAGUUGUAGAAUGUAUUGUACCUUUUAACACCUGAUGUGUACAUCCCAUGUAACAGAAAGGGCAACAAUAAAAUAGCAAUCCUAAAGCAAGAAUAUGGCAGAACAAGAUCUGUAAGCACAGUCUUAUUUUCUUUUGUUGUCCAGAAUACUUAUAAUUCUUGAGCCUCCCAGAAAUUGGAAGCUAAAUAAAGCAACUCAAGUUUCCUUUAUUUUGCACUCAAUUACAGUGAUUAUUGAUGAAAGCGAUGCAUGGAUAUUUUAAUACUUCCUACAUGUCCUGACUUCUGAAAGAGAGUAGGUAACAGGCAUCCCGAGUUCAGGAACUACCUCAGAACACCCCAGGCCAGGUUGGUCAUAGGCUGUGAUUUUAGCCCCCGGCAAGUGUGAGUGAAGCAUCUGUACCACCGCGCAGGCUGAGCGCCUGCGCAGGGUAAGGUGCCACCUGGCAGUGGGGCACACAGAGGGAAGACCAGGCCUGUCCAUCAGCCGGCUGCCUUCAGAGGCAGCUCCAGCAGGACCUUGGCUUGUCUGACAGGAAAUGCUUGUGGUCGUUGGUUAUUUGGUUUGAGAGCCCUUGUUCCUCCAUCUAGUGGAGUCCUUAUUAAAUGCUAGCAAUGUGGCAAUUGAGUGCCAGUA